CGCGUAGGCGGCUUUAUAAGUCAGAUGUGAAAUCCCACGGCUUAACUGUGGAAGUGCAUUUGAAACUGUGAGGCUUGAGUAUCGGAGGGGAGUGUGGAAUUCCCGGUGUAGAGGUGAAAUUCGUAGAGAUCGGGAGGAACACCGGUGGCGAAGGCGACACUCUGGACGAAUACUGACGCUGAGGCGCGAAAGCGUGGGGAGCAAACA
RNAcentral lists this ribosomal RNA (207 nucleotides) under uncultured bacterium. RNAcentral's name for it is "partial 16S ribosomal RNA". It matches the Rfam family "Bacterial small subunit ribosomal RNA", at positions 568 to 774 of the family's 1533-position model. The record is from RNAcentral.